This 735-nucleotide ribosomal RNA is filed under the name Triticum aestivum (bread wheat). RNAcentral's name for it is "partial small subunit ribosomal RNA". The record is from RNAcentral. Lineage: Eukaryota; Viridiplantae; Streptophyta; Magnoliopsida; Poales; Poaceae.
AUGAAUGAGGUUGCUAGCAUUAGUAGAACCUCUCAUGUCAAUGUCGUCACCCUCUUAGGGUUCUGUUUGCAAGGUUCGAAACAAGCUCUCAUCUACGAGUACAUGACCAAUGUCUCACUUGAGAGAUACACUUUUGCCAACAACUCUGCUCAAGAUCCGAACACACUAAGCUGGGAAAUACUCUUUAACAUUGUUCUUGGCAUUGCUCGAUGCCUUGAGUACCUUCAUCGUGGGUAUAAUAGUCGCAUCGUGCAUUUCAAUAUUAAGCCUCAAAACUUUCUGCUGGAUAGAGACUUUUGUCUAAAGAUGUCUGAUUUUGGAUUAGCAAAACUGUGCCAGCAGAAGGAUAGUAAAAUCUCUAUAGGUGGAGCAAGAGGAACUGUAGGGUACAUAGCACCUGAGGUGUUUUCAAGACAGUACGGAGUGGUGAGCAGCAAGUCGGAUGUGUGCCGUUGUGGGAUGGUGGUUUUUGAGAUGGUUGGAGCAAGGAAACAAAUCAGUGUUAGUACCGAAAGUAGCGCCAUGUAUUUCCCUCAAUGGGUAUAUGACAACUUGGAUGAGUUCUGUGGCACCAUCGACGAAAUUACUAGUAACGAUGUCACGGAGCUGGUGAGGAAGAUGACUCUAGUUGGACUCUGGUCCAUACAGUUAACACCCACAAAUCGACCGUCUAUGAGCGAAGUCCUUGACAUGUUGGAAAGCAAUAGCAAGGACUUGCAUCUUCCAGCAAAAGCA